UUGAAAAGUCUUCGAAAUAUAGUUGACCGGGAAAUAUGAUUGAAAAUGCAUUGAAAUAUAGUUGACCGGGAAAUAUGAUUGAAAAUCCAUAGAUUUUUGGUUGACCGGGAGAUCAACGGGUGGUAUACCCAACGUACUGCACCGGACACAGCUCAUUUCUGGACCCUUGGCACAAGGGUACAGAUCACUAUUGCACACCAAGUAAGCAAAACAACAUUUUUGAUUUCAUUUUAUUUUAUUUCUGCAAACAACUUGCACCACUUGCAAUUGCACAAUGACAUCACGCUGGUCAAAGAGGCGGAAAAUUAAAUCAAUGCUUAGGGCCACAGAGUCAGAAAUCCUGCAGCAGUAUGAGAAAACCUAUACUGGUUCCAAAAUGCAAGGCAACACUGUUGCAGAACUGGAACAUGUUGAAUUCCCAAGUGUAGCAUUGGAGUCAGGUGAAUCUAGCUCAGUUGUGAAGCAACCAAGUAUAGGGGAACUUGAGCAGAGGUCAGCAAUCAAUGAGUCCCAUCUCUCAUUAGACUCUGUUUACGACUGUCCAUCACCUAGGCCUGUUGAUUCAGAAUCAGAUGUUUCUGAUGAUGAAGCUCCAACAUCAGAGUUAAUGACAAGUCUCAGAUUUUGGGCCUCCUCCUUUUUGGUCUCAUUAGCAGCAUUGACUGCACUCUUGAGCAUUUUGCGAUUGUUUCAUCCAGAAUUGCCAAGAGAUGCUCGGACAAUUCUCAAGACACAAGGUGAAAUAAAAACUGAGAAAAUGGAAGGUGGGGAAUAUUAUCACUUUGGCCUAGCUACUGGAUUGAUGUCAAAACUGAAAUCUCUGAAGCUGCCGGCUAAUUUGACCACAAUUAAGCUGCAGUUAAGUAUAGAUGGUUUACCACUAUUCCGAAGCAGCAAAACUCAGUUCUGGCCCAUUUUAGCUACCAUUAAUGUUGAUUACAGAAAAUCGCCAUUCCUUGUCGGCCUUUUCUGUGGCAUUACCAAACCAAAGAGUGUCUUUGAGUUCUUGGGCCCAUUUAUUGAAGACCUUAGUGGCAUUCUAAAAAAUGGCAUUGUUCACAAUGGACAGCAGAUUCUGGCAGAAGUGUGCUCAUUUAUAUGCGACGCCCCAGCACGAGCUUUUAUUAAAAAUGUAAAAAGCCACAAUGGUUAUUCAGGUUGCGACAAGUGUUUUCAAGUGGGUGAAUGGCACAACAAGAUGACAUAUCCGGAAACAAAUGUUAGAUUGAGGACAGACACAGACUUCAACUCUAUGACUGAUGAUGAACACCACUUAAACCAAACACUGUCCCCACUAGCUAGUCUGGUCAAAAUGGUGACAAUGGUCCCAUUAGAUUACAUGCACUUGUGCUGUCUUGGGGUAACCAGGAAGUUGCUAUAUAUUUGGAUGAGGGGCAAAUCACUGGCAACUAGGUUGUCAAGUAAAUCAAUCGAAGAGAUAUCCAUUAAAUUGAAGGGACUAGGACCUUACACUCCCUCUGAGUUCAGUCGGAAACCCAGGCACCUCUCUGAAAUAGAUCGGUGGAAGGCGACAGAGCUUCGAUAUUUCAUGCUUUAUGCUGGCCCAGUAGUACUGAAAAAUAGCAUUGCCCUUGAAAUUUAUGAAAACUUUAUGUUACUUUCUGUGGCCAUGCAUCUGCUGUUGUCUCCUGGAACAUCAGAGGAAAUGAUUGAUUGCGCUCAGGGAUUGUUGACUUCCUUCGUAACUC
Long non-coding RNA from Cyprinus carpio carpio, 1709 nucleotides. Lineage: Eukaryota; Metazoa; Chordata; Actinopteri; Cypriniformes; Cyprinidae. The record is from Ensembl.